Molecule: unclassified non-coding RNA, 85 nt
Organism: Gorilla gorilla gorilla (western lowland gorilla)
Lineage: Eukaryota; Metazoa; Chordata; Mammalia; Primates; Hominidae
Rfam family: Y RNA
About the family: Y RNAs are components of the Ro ribonucleoprotein particle (Ro RNP), in association with Ro60 and La proteins. The Y RNAs and Ro60 and La proteins are well conserved, but the function of the Ro RNP is not known. In humans the RNA component can be one of four small RNAs -- hY1, hY3, hY4 and hY5.
Source: Ensembl
GACUGUUCAUAGGCAGUUACAGAUCAAUUGAACUCAUUAUUCUGCUCUUUCCCCACUUUUCACCACUGCACUUAACCAGUCUUUA